RNAcentral lists this non-coding RNA (107 nucleotides) under uncultured Pelagophyceae. Lineage: Eukaryota; Pelagophyceae. The record is from RNAcentral.
CACCGAACCGGCGAUGCCACCGCCCCCCGCACGCCGCCCAACAGAACUCUCCGUGCCGCCGGCCUCCGCGAUCGAACGCUACUGCGAGCUCCCCCAGGACGACGACG